Rosa chinensis is the source of this 1538-nucleotide long non-coding RNA. RefSeq lists it as uncharacterized. The transcript has 2 exons. NCBI's taxonomy places the organism in Eukaryota, Viridiplantae, Streptophyta, Magnoliopsida, Rosales, Rosaceae. The record is from RefSeq and is a predicted model, not a curated record.
CCCGUAUUUAUUUCUAAUCUUCCCAACAAAGUCAUGUAGCUAGCAGUUUGUAACUCCGAUGGCAUGUCCAGAGAUUUAACCUCUACGUACACCCAAUAAUCCAAUAUCAAACGUCUAUUCCACUCUUGUUUUCUCCUCCUCAAGCAUUAGACAAUUCCUCAUAUCCGAGAACGGAGAACCUCCAGUCCUCCACCACGAAACCAAUUAGUGAAGCAAAACAUAUUUCAAAAUUAUCCCUCCUGCGGCCUUUUUUUUGUUUUAUCUCAUCAAGGAAGGAUAAUGGAAGCCAACUAGCAGUCGGUUUUGGUGACAUGACAUUUUUCUCCAACAAAGUAUCGUUAGAGGUUUCAAGUUCAACUCCUUCCUCCUCCAUUGAUCAGAAGACAAAGGAAAAAGGAAAACUAUCUCAGCUUGUGCAUAGGCAUCAUAUAUAGCUAUCAACCCUACAAAACCAUCAAUUAAGUUCAGAAAGCAAAUGAACAUGCCGCUGGCAGUUGAUGUCUCGAAUGAGAACCAGUAUGUGAGUAGAAAUUCACCUGAUGACUUUGCACUGCACUUAACAUUCUUCUAAUCUACCCUUUGGGAGACUUUGCAAUGGUAUCAACCUCUGGAGGAAACUCCAGUCCUAUUUCGCCAUUUCGAUAGCGAAACAUAUCUUUCAAUCGGGUAAACUGUUGCUCAGGUUAGGCGAAUGUUUAAUCAUAAAAUCUAUUGGGGUGAAUUUUUUCUUUUUGAGGGGAUCCUUAAUUGGUGAAGUGAAGUUAUGUUACUAUUAUGAUUCCUGUCCAAUUUAAUAUCUUAAUUAGAGUAAAUUGGUGAACGAAUUUAGAUUUGGUGUGAACCUUAAUGCUGGGCUUUUAGUCCAUUAGGUCUCGGCCCAAUCCAAAUUUUCUAGAAACCCAACCCAGAAGACGAAGCUCCUAAAAUCUCCAAGAUCUAAAACCCUCUUUCGCAAGUCGCAAAGCAGCUGAAAAUCCUUGAAUCGUGAAAAGCAAAAGCAAACAAAUUGCAGAGGAAAUGUUUGGUCGACGCAAAUUCCUCUCCUUUCCUUUAGUUAUCGGAGCAGUCAUAAUUGGAGUUGCUUCAGGCAAGGCAAUCUUUGGACCCCCACUUGAGGAGUACUGGACAAAGAAGCAGCAGGAAGAAGCAGCUGCAAAGGAGACUGAUGCAAGCUCAAAGUAACCAAUAUGGUAUCGCAUUCCCUCAUGAUUGAUUGUCUCACAGUGGUGCAAGCCAGGAGAUGAAGAUGGUAUAUUAAUUAGUUCAUUCAUUUACACUUCAAGAAUAUGAUGAAGGCAACAGCAAUCUGCAACUGUUUCUAGAAGCUGUUAUAGUUGAGGGAAGAAAGUCCUCUGCUUGCUUAAUUGUAUUUCUUCUCAGGUUGCUUAUUGUAAAAUUUCAAUGACGCUGUUUUUCAGCCUGCUGAUAUAAGGAGGAAAACUGUUCUCGUAUAAAAUUCAUGCAGACUAACAAGCUACCGUAUGAAAGAAGCUUCCAAGUUUUUAUCUAUAAAUUCAUGCUGUCUAUACUUUUCGAUC